Fusarium venenatum is the source of this 87-nucleotide non-coding RNA. Lineage: Eukaryota; Fungi; Ascomycota; Sordariomycetes; Hypocreales; Nectriaceae. The record is from RefSeq and is a predicted model, not a curated record.
GUCUCCCAUCUUUACAAAAAAAAAAAAAAAAAAAAACUGUGAGCAGGUGUCGCACAUGGUUCAAGGUUUACUUACCUUUUGGUACUG